CAGUAGCCGCGGGAAUACGAAGGGUGCAAGCGUUACUCGGAAUUACUGGGCGUAAAGCGUGCGUAGGUGGUGGUUUAAGUCCGUUGUGAAAGCCCUGGGCUCAACCUGGGAAUUGCAGUGGAUACUGGAUCACUAGAGUGUGGUAGAGGAUAGUGGAAUUUCCGGUGUAGCAGUGAAAUGCGUAGAGAUCGGAAGGAACAUCUGUGGCGAAGGCGACUAUCUGGGCCAACACUGACACUGAGGCACGAAAGCGUGGGGAGCAAACAGGAUUAGAUACCCCAGUAGUCCCUGUCUCUUAUAA
This 301-nucleotide ribosomal RNA is filed under the name uncultured bacterium. RNAcentral's name for it is "partial 16S ribosomal RNA". It matches the Rfam family "Bacterial small subunit ribosomal RNA", at positions 509 to 809 of the family's 1533-position model. The record is from RNAcentral.